RNAcentral lists this transfer RNA (72 nucleotides) under Podarcis lilfordi (Lilford's wall lizard). RNAcentral's name for it is "tRNA.Sup". It matches the Rfam family "tRNA". From Rfam's summary of the family: Transfer RNA (tRNA) molecules are approximately 80 nucleotides in length. Their secondary structure includes four short double-helical elements and three loops (D, anti-codon, and T loops). The record is from RNAcentral. Lineage: Eukaryota; Metazoa; Chordata; Lepidosauria; Squamata; Lacertidae.
GCUGUGCUGCUCAGUGGGUAGAGCGUGAGACUCUAAAUCUCAGGGUUGUGAGUUCGAGCCCCACAUUGGGCA